RNAcentral lists this ribosomal RNA (253 nucleotides) under uncultured bacterium. RNAcentral's name for it is "partial 16S ribosomal RNA". It matches the Rfam family "Bacterial small subunit ribosomal RNA", at positions 524 to 776 of the family's 1533-position model. The record is from RNAcentral.
UACGUAGGGUGCAAGCGUUGUCCGGAAUUAUUGGGCGUAAAGAGCUCGUAGGCGGUUUGUCGCGUCUGCUGUGAAAACGCGAGGCUCAACCUCGCGCCUGCAGUGGGUACGGGCAGACUAGAGUGCGGUAGGGGAGAUUGGAAUUCCUGGUGUAGCGGUGGAAUGCGCAGAUAUCAGGAGGAACACCAAUAGCGAAGGCAGCUCGCUGGGACGUUACUGACACUGAGGCGCGAAAGCGUGGGGAGCGAACAGG